This 50-nucleotide transfer RNA is filed under the name Martynia annua. RNAcentral's name for it is "partial tRNA-Leu". Lineage: Eukaryota; Viridiplantae; Streptophyta; Magnoliopsida; Lamiales; Martyniaceae. The record is from RNAcentral.
UAAAUAUUUUGCGAGUCAAAUAGGCUUUUUUGGGGAUAGAGGGACUUGAA